This is a non-coding RNA of Danionella cerebrum, 74 nucleotides long. The record is from the annotation of a GenBank genome assembly. Lineage: Eukaryota; Metazoa; Chordata; Actinopteri; Cypriniformes; Danionidae.
GCUCUCCUGUGACUCAGUUGGUAGAGCAUUGAGCUAAUGAUGCAAAGGUUUGGGUUCAAAUCCCAUGUAAAGCU